RNAcentral lists this ribosomal RNA (353 nucleotides) under Pholcus phalangioides (longbodied cellar spider). RNAcentral describes it as "partial 16S ribosomal RNA". It matches the Rfam family "Archaeal large subunit ribosomal RNA", at positions 2033 to 2666 of the family's 2987-position model. The record is from RNAcentral. Lineage: Eukaryota; Metazoa; Arthropoda; Arachnida; Araneae; Pholcidae.
GUAGCAUAAUAAUUUGCUUCUUAAUUAGGAGAUCGUAUGAAGGGUUAUACAUUAGAAUCCUGUCUCUUUUAACCAAAUAAACUUAAGUAAAAAGUAAAAACUCUUUUAACCAAAGCGGGACGACAAGACCCUGACAAACUUAACAUUUAGUUGGGGAAACAAAAUAAUAAAUAUUUAUUCAUAACCUAAACAUAACUUUAAAAUAAAAAUAAGACUAGUUACUGCAGGGAUAACAGCGUUAUUUCUUUUGAGAGCUCUUAUCUAAAAAGAAGAUUACGACCUCGAUGUUGAAUUAAUUCCGCUAUACAGGUGCAACAACCUUAUAAGGUAGUCUGUUCGACUAUUAAAAAAUU